Molecule: ribosomal RNA, 492 nt
Filed under: uncultured bacterium
Lineage: Bacteria
Description: partial 16S ribosomal RNA
Rfam family: Bacterial small subunit ribosomal RNA
Source: RNAcentral
GAUGAACGCUCGCUACAGGCUUAACACAUGCAAGUCGAGGGGAAACGCCAUCGAAAGCUUGCUUUUGAUGGGCGUCGACCGGCGCACGGGUGAGUAACGCGUAUCCAACCUGCCCAUCACUUGGGAAUAACCUUGCGAAAGUAAGACUAAUACCCAAUGAUAUCCCACGAAGGCAUCGGAAUGGGAUUAAAGAUUUAUCGGUGAUGGAUGGGGAUGCGUCUGAUUAGCUUGUUGGCGGGGUAACGGCCCACCAAGGCAACGAUCAGUAGGGGUUCUGAGAGGAAGGUCCCCCACAUUGGAACUGGGACACGGUCCAAACUCCUACGGGAGGCAGCAGUGAGGAAGAUUGGUCAAUGGGCGAGAGCCUGAACCAGCCAAGUAGCGUGCAGGAAGACGGCCCUAUGGGUUGUAAACUGCUUUUAUAAGGGAAUAAAGUGGGUCACGUGUGACUUUUUGCAUGUACCUUAUGAAUAAGGACCGGCUAAUUCCGUG